RNAcentral lists this ribosomal RNA (558 nucleotides) under Triticum aestivum (bread wheat). Its description in RNAcentral is "partial small subunit ribosomal RNA". The record is from RNAcentral. Lineage: Eukaryota; Viridiplantae; Streptophyta; Magnoliopsida; Poales; Poaceae.
AUGGAUUCCAUCUUGACGAAUGAAACUUGGGAGAUAACUGAUCGUCCUUAUGGGUGCAAACCUAUAGGAUGCAAAUGGGUAUUCAAGAAGAAGCUUAGGCCUGAUGGUACUAUUGAAAAGUACAAGGCUCGGCUCGUGGCUAAGGGUUAUAUCCAAAAGGAAGGUGAAGACUUCUUUGAUACUUACUCACCUGUGGCUCGACUGACCACUAUUCGAGUUCUACUUUCACUAGCUGCCUCACAUGGUCUUCUCGUUCAUCAAAUGGAUGUUAAGACUGCUUUCCUAAAUGGAGAGCUGGACGAGGAAAUUUAUAUGGAACAACCAGAUGGGUUUGUACUAGAUGGCUUUGUUGUAAAUGAAGCUGACAAAUGUGUGUACUAUCGCCAUGGUGGGGGCGAGGGAGUUAUCCUUUGCUUGUAUGUUGAUGACAUACUGAUUUUCGGAACAAAUCUGAAUGUCAUUAAGGAGGUCAAGGACUUUCUAUCUCGCUGUUUUGAGAUGAAGGAUUUAGGAGUGGCUGAUGUCAUUCUGAACAUCAAGUUGUUGAGGAGACGGUGA